AUACUCAAGCUAUGCAUCCAACGCGUUGGGAGCUCUCCCAUAUGGUCGACCUGCAGGCGGCCGCGAAUUCACUAGUGAUUAGAGUUUGAUCAUGGCUCAGAACGAACGCUGGCGGCACGCCUAACACAUGCAAGUCGCACGAGAAGUCGUAGCAAUACGAUUGUAAAGUGGCGCACGGGUGAGAAACACGUAAAUUAUUUUCCCUUUGGAUCGGGACAACAAUUCGAAAGGAUUGCUAAUUCCGGGUAAGCUCGGUUGGUUGUAAGAACUAGCCGAGGAGAGCGGCCCUCUGAUCUAAGGUCGCGCCAGAGGAUAAGUUUGCGGCCCAUCAGCCAGUUGGUAGUGUAACGGACUACCAAGGCUAAGACGGGUAGCUGGUCUGAGAGGACGAUCAGCCMCACUGGGACUGAGACACGGCCCAGACUCCUACGGGAGGCAGCAGUGGGGAAUAUUGGACAAUGGGGGAAACCCUGAUCCAGCGAUGCCGCGUGAAGGAAGAAGGCCUUUGGGUUGUAAACUUCUGUCGAUAGGGACAAAUCUGCCUGGGUGAACAAUCCAGGUAGAAGA
RNAcentral lists this ribosomal RNA (567 nucleotides) under uncultured bacterium. RNAcentral's name for it is "bacterial SSU rRNA". The record is from RNAcentral.